This 409-nucleotide ribosomal RNA is filed under the name uncultured bacterium. Its description in RNAcentral is "bacterial SSU rRNA". It matches the Rfam family "Bacterial small subunit ribosomal RNA", at positions 509 to 916 of the family's 1533-position model. The record is from RNAcentral.
CAGCAGCCGCGGUAAUACGUAGGGUGCGAGCGUUGCCCGGAUUUAUUGGGCGUAAAGGGCGCGUAGGCGGUCACGCACGUCCGUUGUGAAAUCGCUCGGCUCAACUGGGCGGGGUCAGCGGAUACGGCGUGGCUGGAGCAAGCUAGGGGGCAAUGGAAUUCCCGGUGUAGUGGUGGAAUGCGUAGAUAUCGGGAGGAACACCAGUGGCGAAGGCGGUUGCCUGGAGCUUUGCUGACGCUGAUGCGCGAAAGCGUGGGGAGCGAUCCGGAUUAGAUACCCGGGUAGUCCACGCCGUAAACGAUGCUGACUAGGUGUCGGGGGUAUCGACCCCCUCGGCGCCGCAGCUAACGUAUUAAGUCCGCCCCCUGGGGACUCCCGCCGCUAGGCUAAAACUCAAAGGAAUUGACGG